Molecule: long non-coding RNA, 1773 nt
Filed under: Strongylocentrotus purpuratus (purple sea urchin)
Lineage: Eukaryota; Metazoa; Echinodermata; Echinoidea; Camarodonta; Strongylocentrotidae
Description: uncharacterized LOC115919324
Source: RNAcentral
UACAUAAACCAUGUGUAAAAAGAAAAUGUACACAUAGAAAUUUCAACCAAAAAAAAAUCUCCUUUAUUAAUAGAAAAAAAAGCAUUCGAUCGAGAUAUUCCCGUUCUAUGUGUGUGCAAAGUUUCAACGUAGAGGACAGUACGCAAGUAUGUAAUUUGAAAAUUACCCGUUAUUUUUUUUCCCCACUGGCACUGCUGUACGCAUCGGACUUUUGCUGAUUUUCGUUCAUCAAACGUCUCUAAAUCACACCAAAAUGUCUUCCAGCAAUUAUUCUAGCGAUGAAAUUUCAUCAAGAGAUAGUGACUCCUCAUACUCCGAUGCCUCCUUAUCCCAUUUUAGUGAUUCUUCCCAAGAAAAUGAGCCCGACAAAUGUUCAAAAUAUUACUAGAUCUAGUCCCACUCGUAGAGAAAUGAGUUUGUUGUCGAAUGACGGAACAUCGACGAGCGGAACUGGCCCCAGAAAACAGCUGAAAAGGAAUCAGAAAACACAACCUGCAAAGCACCACGCAAGAAGAAGAGCAAGUCUUCCAAGUCCGAGAGUGCAUGUGUCUGCGAGAUCCAUUGAAACUAAUCAAGCUACAAUGUACAUGUAACGUACAACCACCAUUCGAUGCCUGUGAACAGCAUGACCAACAUCUGUAUCCUUUACAUUAGUAUUUGUUUCCAUUUUAUUAUGUAAUUAUUAUGUCUAAUCAUUGAGAUUCAUAGGCAAGUACAACAUGUAUGUGUACACAAUGAGUGCCUGCAUAUUGUGAAGAUAAAGGACCAUAAGACCAUUACUUAUGAUACAUGGUAAUGAUGGUAGGCCUAUACUUUGUAAAACUAUUUGAAAAUAGUAGCAUGUAAGUCUGUCAUUUUCUUGUUUAUAUAUAUCUCAAUGACAUGACAUGUCAUUGAUUUUGUAGUAAGUGUUUCUAGAUUAUGAUGAUUGUAUUAAAAUUUUGACAGUUCAAUUGAGAUUGAGAAAAUUAUGUAACAUGUCAACUGUACUAUAGAGCAUGCAUGCAUUGUUGAAAAAUCUGUUUCAUGAUUUAUUUUAUUUUGUUAUCUUUGUAAAUAACGAGAAAAAAAAAAUUAUUUGUCAUGAUUUUCUUGAGGUUUGAAAAUGUGAUUACAUUAUUAAGAGCACUUUGCAAUUAAAUUGUAAUAAAAGAGACAGAAAACAACACUCUCAUGUCCAGAAUACUGCUUUAUUUGGUUACUAGUGAGGAGAGAGCUUGUGAUCGCCUGGCAUAUCCACAUCGGCUCAGUAAUAGUCCUGAAACUCACCUGAAUACUUUAUUUGAACAAAAAUAGAAAGCUACAUUCAAGGUGGAUGAUAUUUUUUUAAGGCGGAGGCAUAUAGGAGACGCAGUCGCAUUUGUCUUGUUUUUUUUUUAGAGUAUAAUCAUAGCAAACCAUGAACAACUCUAUUACUACAACAUGUACACUACAAUACUUAACCAAAGAUUGUAAAUAUCAGUUAAGUUCUUUUAUUUAUUUGCUUAUAUGAACACACAUACUAUACUAAACUCAUGUCAUUGUGUUUACCUCUCGAAAAUAAAGUACAUGUAUUUUAUUUGACACAUUCCCUUUUAUUAUUUUUGUUUGUUACAGUCCACUGCCAUUAUAACGAGGUGCUCGGGACCAAGCCAAUUUCCUUGUUAAAAUGAAAUCAUGUUAUACUCAAGUUACUGAACACAUUGGUUUGUUUAAAAUUGGGACUGAUGAGAAUUGCCUGAUAAUAAAAUCUUGGUGUAUCCAUGUUCGUUAUAAUAGGAGUGGACUGUAUAA